CCUACGGGUGGCAGCAGUGGGGAAUAUUGGGCAAUGGGCGCAACCCUGACCCAGCAACGCCGCGUGAAGGAAGAAGGCUUUCGGGUUGUAAACUUCUUUUCUCAGGGACGAAGCAAGUGACGGUACCUGAGGAAUAAGCCACGGCUAACUACGUGACAGCAACGGCGGUAAUACGUAGGUGGCAAGCUGUCUCCGGUUUUACUGGGUGGACAGGGCGUGUCGGCGGGAAAGCAAGUCAGAUGUGAACACCGUGGGCUCAACCUGUGGCCUGCAUUUGAAACUGUUUUUCUGGAGUACUGGAGAGGCAGAUGGAAUUCCUAGUGUAGCGGUGAAAUGCGUAGAUAUUAGGAGGAACACCAGUGGCGAAGGCGGUCUGCUGGACAGCAACUGACGCUGAGGCGCGAAAGCGUGGGGAGCAAACAGGAUUAGAUACCCUGGUAGUC
Molecule: ribosomal RNA, 443 nt
Filed under: uncultured bacterium
Lineage: Bacteria
Description: partial 16S ribosomal RNA
Rfam family: Bacterial small subunit ribosomal RNA
Source: RNAcentral